UCUAGGGGAAAGCAAACGGCUCCAACCCAAAAACAAAAUCAAUAACCCCAAAGAAAAGUGGGAGACACACAUAUAAAAUAUAUGUAAUUUAUUAAGACAUGAUCAAAUAACAAAUACUAUAU
Molecule: long non-coding RNA, 122 nt
Organism: Bufo bufo (common toad)
Lineage: Eukaryota; Metazoa; Chordata; Amphibia; Anura; Bufonidae
Exons: 3
Source: RefSeq, a predicted model, not a curated record